UACGUAGGGUGCAAGCGUUGUUCGGAAUUACUGGGCGUAAAGCGAGUGUAGGCGGUUCGCUAAGUCGGGUGUGAAAGCCCUGGGCUCAACCCAGGAAGUGCACUCGAAACUGGCAGGCUAGAGUACUGGAGAGGUUGGUGGAAUUCUCGGUGUAGAGGUGAAAUUCGUAGAUAUCGAGAGGAACACCGGUGGCGAAGGCGGCCAACUGGACAGAUACUGACGCUGAGACUCGAAAGCGUGGGGAGCAAACAGG
RNAcentral lists this ribosomal RNA (253 nucleotides) under uncultured bacterium. RNAcentral's name for it is "partial 16S ribosomal RNA". It matches the Rfam family "Bacterial small subunit ribosomal RNA", at positions 524 to 776 of the family's 1533-position model. The record is from RNAcentral.